GGCUUGUGGCUCAAUGGUAGAGCAUUUAUCUGGCAUGUGUGAGGCACUGCGUUCGAUCCUCAGCACCA
RNAcentral lists this transfer RNA (68 nucleotides) under Marmota monax (woodchuck). Its description in RNAcentral is "tRNA.Ala". The record is from RNAcentral. Lineage: Eukaryota; Metazoa; Chordata; Mammalia; Rodentia; Sciuridae.